GGAGAGAUGGCCGAGCGGUUUAAGGCGCACGCCUGGAAAGUGUGUAUGCGGGAGACUGCAUCGCGGGUUCGAAUCCCGCUCUCUCCGCCA
This 90-nucleotide transfer RNA is filed under the name Holosporaceae bacterium. RNAcentral describes it as "tRNA-Ser". It matches the Rfam family "tRNA". Rfam says of the family: Transfer RNA (tRNA) molecules are approximately 80 nucleotides in length. Their secondary structure includes four short double-helical elements and three loops (D, anti-codon, and T loops). The record is from RNAcentral. Lineage: Bacteria; Pseudomonadati; Pseudomonadota; Alphaproteobacteria; Holosporales; Holosporaceae.